RNAcentral lists this ribosomal RNA (872 nucleotides) under uncultured Psychrobacter sp. RNAcentral's name for it is "bacterial SSU rRNA". It matches the Rfam family "Bacterial small subunit ribosomal RNA", at positions 51 to 916 of the family's 1533-position model. Lineage: Bacteria; Pseudomonadati; Pseudomonadota; Gammaproteobacteria; Moraxellales; Moraxellaceae. The record is from RNAcentral.
ACACAUGCAAGUCGAGCGGUAACAUUUCUAGCUUGCUAGAAGAUGACGAGCGGCGGACGGGUGAGUAAUACUUAGGAAUCUACCUAGUAGUGGGGGAUAGCACGGGGAAACUCGUAUUAAUACCGCAUACGACCUACGGGAGAAAGGGGGCAGUUUACUGCUCUCGCUAUUAGAUGAGCCUAAGUCGGAUUAGCUAGAUGGUGGGGUAAAGGCCUACCAUGGCGACGAUCUGUAGCUGGUCUGAGAGGAUGAUCAGCCACACCGGGACUGAGACACGGCCCGGACUCCUACGGGAGGCAGCAGUGGGGAAUAUUGGACAAUGGGGGAAACCCUGAUCCAGCCAUGCCGCGUGUGUGAAGAAGGCCUUUUGGUUGUAAAGCACUUUAAGCAGUGAAGAAGACUCCAUGGUUAAUACCCAUGGACGAUGACAUUAGCUGCAGAAUAAGCACCGGCUAACUCUGUGCCAGCAGCCGCGGUAAUACAGAGGGUGCAAGCGUUAAUCGGAAUUACUGGGCGUAAAGGGAGCGUAGGUGGCUCGAUAAGUCAGAUGUGAAAUCCCCGGGCUCAACCUGGGAACUGCAUCUGAUACUGUCGUGCUAGAGUAUGUGAGAGGAAGGUAGAAUUCCAGGUGUAGCGGUGAAAUGCGUAGAGAUCUGGAGGAAUACCGAUGGCGAAGGCAGCCUUCUGGCAUAAUACUGACACUGAGGCUCGAAAGCGUGGGUAGCAAACAGGAUUAGAUACCCUGGUAGUCCACGCCGUAAACGAUGUCUACUAGUCGUUGGGUCCCUUGAGGACUUAGUGACGCAGCUAACGCAAUAAGUAGACCGCCUGGGGAGUACGGCCGCAAGGUUAAAACUCAAAUGAAUUGACGG